RNAcentral lists this ribosomal RNA (233 nucleotides) under uncultured bacterium. RNAcentral describes it as "partial 16S ribosomal RNA". It matches the Rfam family "Bacterial small subunit ribosomal RNA", at positions 118 to 351 of the family's 1533-position model. The record is from RNAcentral.
UGGGCAACCUGCCCCUCUCUCUGGGAUAACCCCGGGAAACCGGAGCUAAUACCGGAUACUCCGGCUGGAUCGCAUGGUCCGGCCGGGAAAGGUCCGCCGGAGAGGGAUGGACCCGCGGCGCAUUAGCUAGUUGGUGAGGUAACGGCUCACCAAGGCAACGAUGCGUAGCCGACCUGAGAGGGUGAUCGGCCACAUUGGAACUGAGACACGGUCCAGACUCCUACGGGAGGCAG